RNAcentral lists this ribosomal RNA (302 nucleotides) under uncultured bacterium. Its description in RNAcentral is "partial 16S ribosomal RNA". It matches the Rfam family "Bacterial small subunit ribosomal RNA", at positions 508 to 807 of the family's 1533-position model. The record is from RNAcentral.
GCAGUAGCCGCGGGAAAACGAAGGGUGCAAGCGUUACUCAGAAUUACUGGGCGUAAAGCGUGCGUAGGUGGUGGUUUAAGUCCGUUGUGAAAGCCCUGGGCUCAACCUGGGAAUUGCAGUGGAUACUGGGUCACUAGAGUGUGGUAGAGGAUAGUGGAAUUUCCGGUGUAGCAGUGAAAUGCGUAGAGAUCGGAAGGAACAUCUGUGGCGAAGGCGACUAUCUGGGCCAACACUGACACUGAGGCACGAAAGCGUGGGGAGCAAACAGGAUUAGAUACCCGUGUAGUCCCUGUCUCUUAUAC